GUGAUUUAUAAUAAACACAUUGUAGGCGAAAACAUGACCGUUAUAAAUACAAAUGCUAAAUGUUUUGAUUGCAACAGUAUCUAGUGAGACAGGAAGAAGAUCAACAGAAUGGUCAAGAUAACAGCUGUUUGUCUAUUAACCAUCAUAUGCAUAUUGGAUUUUGGGAUGUGCCUUUUCUACACAGACAGCAAAGAAAACGAUUACCCACGAAUUGGAAAGAGACGACAUUUUGAUGAACUUGUAUACAAUAACAAUUACCAGCAAAAAUACAGAGAACCCAAAAAGACAAUGGACCCUUUAACAUUAAGUGAAGCUGUUAUACCAUCUGUGUUAUUGUUUCAAUAUUUUGACUUGGAUAAAGAUGGAUUUAUAUCUGCAGGUGAAUUUUCAAGAAGAAUAUCAACUGGAUUAAGUUACUUGAUGCAAAGAGAAAUGAACUGGGAUCAUUAGUUUGAACAAUGUGCCUUUUUUGUUCAUACAUGGGGAUUGGAUAUAUUUAACACUUGCUUUUUAAUAAAUAGGGGCAGUUAAUGAUCUUAAUAAGGGUUGGUUAGUGAUAUUACUAAGGGGUUAGUGGUGUCACUGAGGGGUUAGUGAUUUCACUGCGGGGUGGAUACUAAUGGGAGGUUACUAAUAUUACUGAUAUAAGCAUGUAAAAAGAUUCUUACUUCCGUAAAUCCUGAAUAGAUUAGCAUAUUUUAUUGUUUUAAGUUUGACAAUCUUAAAUUACACCAGAGGUUCUUUUUCUACUGCUUACACUGAUCAUAUUCCUUUAGAAAAUACAAUUUAUAGAUAAUUUAAAAUAUCUGUGUUGUUUUCAAUCUAACUGAUCUGGCCAUAUGUCAUGUUAUUUUUGUACGACCCUUAGUGUCAAGUGUUUGUCAAAAAACAUUAUCAUCUAGGCCAAGAUGCUUAGUUUCAGAACUGUAUCAGAUAAAAACCGCUUGUAGACAAAAAAAAACAUAAUCAAACUGAAUAGAUCUCAAAAUAUAGAAAAUCUUAUCACUUUCUUAUUCUCAAGCACACCUGACAAAUAUGAACGUUCUGAAAAGGAAAAAAACCAUGGCUGAUAUAAAGAGAUAAUAGAUAACCUUCAAUAAUACAGCAACCUGAACGACACAAAUAUCAGAAAGACACCUACAUGUCAAUAAACAGUCUUCAAUAACACAUAGGUGAAAUCAUUUUAAAAA
This is a long non-coding RNA of Mytilus trossulus (common blue mussel), 1190 nucleotides long. RefSeq lists it as uncharacterized. The record is from RefSeq and is a predicted model, not a curated record. The transcript is spliced from 3 exons. Lineage: Eukaryota; Metazoa; Mollusca; Bivalvia; Mytilida; Mytilidae.